RNAcentral lists this ribosomal RNA (760 nucleotides) under uncultured bacterium. RNAcentral describes it as "bacterial SSU rRNA". It matches the Rfam family "Bacterial small subunit ribosomal RNA", at positions 28 to 776 of the family's 1533-position model. The record is from RNAcentral.
GAUGAACGCUAGCUACAGGCUUAACACAUGCAAGUCGAGGGGCAGCAUUUCAGUUUGCUUGCAAACUGGAGAUGGCGACCGGCGCACGGGUGAGUAACACGUAUCCAGCCUGCCGAUAACUCGGGGAUAGCCUUUCGAAAGAAAGAUUAAUACCCGAUGGUAUAAUUAGACCGCAUGGUCUUGUUAUUAAAGAAUUUCGGUUAUCGAUGGGGAUGCGUUCCAUUAGGCAGUUGGUGAGGUAACGGCUCACCAAACCUUCGGUGGAUAGGGGUUCUGAGAGGAAGGUCCCCCACAUUGGAACUGAGACACGGUCCAAACUCCUACGGGAGGCAGCAGUGAGGAAUAUUGGUCAAUGGGCGCAGGCCUGAACCAGCCAAGUAGCGUGAAGGAUGACUGCCCUAUGGGUUGUAAACUUCUUUUAUAUGGGAAUAAAGUUUUCCACGUGUGGAAUUUUGUAUGUACCAUAUGAAUAAGGAUCGGCUAACUCCGUGCCAGCAGCCGCGGUAAUACGGAGGAUCCGAGCGUUAUCCGGAUUUAUUGGGUUUAAAGGGAGCGUAGGUGGACAGUUAAGUCAGUUGUGAAAGUUUGCGGCUCAACCGUAAAAUUGCAGUUGAUACUGGCUGUCUUGAGUACAGUAGAGGUGGGCGGAAUUCGUGGUGUAGCGGUGAAAUGCUUAGAUAUCACGAAGAACUCCGAUUGCGAAGGCAGCUCACUGGACUGCAACUGACACUGAUGCUCGAAAGUGUGGGUAUCAAACAGG